GAUGAACGCUGGCGGCGUGCCUAAUACAUGCAAGUCGAGCGAACAGACGAGGAGCUUGCUCCUCGGACGUGAGCGGCGGACGGGGGAGGAACACGAGGAUAACCUACCUAUAAGACUGUGAUAACUUCCGGAAACCGGAGCGAAUACCGGAUAAUAUAUUGAACCGCAUGGUUCAAUAGUGAAAGACGGUUUUGGUGUCACUGAUAGAUGGAUUCGCGGCGCCUUAGCUAGUUGGUAGGGUAACGGCUUACCAAGGCAACGAUGAGUAGCCGCCCUGAGAGGGUGGUCGGCCACCCUACAACUGAGGCGCGGCCCCGCCUCCUACGGGGGGCGGCAGUAGGGAAUCUUCCGCAACGGGCGGCGGCCUGACGGAGCAACGCCGCGUGGGUGAUGAAGGUCUUCGGAUCGUAAAGCUCUGUUAUCGGGAGAGAACCAGUGUGUCAGUGACUGUGCACGUCUUGACGGUACCUGGUCAGAAAGCCCCGGCUAACUACGUG
Molecule: ribosomal RNA, 497 nt
Filed under: uncultured bacterium
Lineage: Bacteria
Description: partial 16S ribosomal RNA
Rfam family: Bacterial small subunit ribosomal RNA
Source: RNAcentral